AAUGAGCAGGUGUAAGCAGAUGGAUGUUAAAAUCUGAUGAGAAGAAACUGAGGAUCAGAUGGUUGAGCUUGCUUGCUAAAGCCACCAAAGAAGAAACGGUGCCUUGCCUUUCAAUGAUCACUAAGAGACAUCAUUCACGACCUUCUGUUCAAGCAGUGGAGGAAGAAAUUGCUUCCCAGAGAGGAUUAGCCCCCUGCAUUUUACUAGAUAAAGAAAAAAUAAAAAGCCAUUGGACUCUGACAAGCUGAUUACUGUCUAUGGAAGAGCAAAAUGUCUCCCUUAGGACUAGGGGAAUAGCCAACAAGGUUUUCACUUCCAAUGUAAAUGAAAUGUCCACUGCGUUAAUAAGAGUUUGUAAGAGAAGAGGAAAGAGCAGAUAUAUGGAAGUGCUAUGAAAUCAAAGAAGGAGAAGAUGUGAAUUCUGAAUAGAGAAGCACUUUAUAAUUCAACAGAUAAGACUCUCCAUGCAGUCAUGUCAAAAAGGUCAGAGUAAAUGAGCAGUCCCUGGGCAGUAUAUAUCUUAUUACACUGUUAACAUACUUCUAAUCAUACCCAAAUUUUCACCUUAGUCUUUAUUUGCUCUUAUUAUCAGUCAGUAUGGCAGCCACUAUAACAAAAGCCCCACUCCUAUGUGGUACUUCACCAGACAAUAUACCAAGAUAUCAUCCUUCGCAUCUGGGAGCUUACAGGCAUAAAACUAAGAUGGAGAAGAAAAAUGAAUCAGGAAGUGACCCAGUCUAGAAUUCACAAAGAUGACACCACAAUGCUUCUUUGGGCCUAUUAGUGGAGGAUGCUGAAGCUAUGACUUUUAGGACCCAGUUUUCUAGUUCUGUCUACAUUUCUGGUUGGUUAAGAAUCAAUACUCUUUCCCAUCUUAAAGU
Molecule: non-coding RNA, 881 nt
Organism: Manis javanica (Malayan pangolin)
Lineage: Eukaryota; Metazoa; Chordata; Mammalia; Pholidota; Manidae
Source: RefSeq, a predicted model, not a curated record